GAUGAACGCUGGCGGCGUGCCUAAUACAUGCAAGUCGAGCGAACAGACGAUGAGCUUGCUCCUCUGACGUUAGCGGCGGACGGGUGAGUAACACGUGGAUAACCUACCUAUAAGACUGGGAUAACUUCGGGAAACCGGAGCUAAUACCGGAUAAUAUAUUGAACCGCAUGGUUCAAUAGUUAAAGACGGUUUUGCUGUCACUUAUAGAUGGAUCCGCGCCGCAUUAGCUAGUUGGUAAGGUAACGGCUUACCAAGGCAACGAUGCGUAGCCGACCUGAGAGGGUGAUCGGCCACACUGGAACUGAGACACGGUCCAGACUCCUACGGGAGGCAGCAGUAGGGAAUCUUCCGCAAUGGGCGAAAGCCUGACGGAGCAACGCCGCGUGAGUGAUGAAGGUCUUCGGAUCGUAAAACUCUGUUAUUAGGGAAGAACAAAUGUGUAAGUAACUAUGCACGUCUUGACGGUACCUAAUCAGAAAGCCACGGCUAACUACGUG
This 497-nucleotide ribosomal RNA is filed under the name uncultured bacterium. Its description in RNAcentral is "partial 16S ribosomal RNA". It matches the Rfam family "Bacterial small subunit ribosomal RNA", at positions 28 to 507 of the family's 1533-position model. The record is from RNAcentral.